AGUGGCUGGAUACUUUCCGGAUGGACUUCGUACACCUCCCUGGGCAAGGCUGUAGAACUGCACUUACCACCUGUGUGUUCUUAACCUUUAUAAUAGUGCCUUGUGCCCAUUGUAAUUCAUGUUGCAAGAGUAUGGAAACUCUUAUGCAGCCGUUGGUUCAACUUUAAAUAUCUCACAGAGCAUCGGUGGUCUGCUGGGGAUUGUGAGCAGAGCAUCCUUUCCCAGAUGAGGAGCUUGCAAGACACGAUAGAACCUCAAGACCUCACAUGAGAAGGGCAAAUCGCUGAGCCCAUCAACCUAGUCUUAUAGGUGGAAACUGAGGCCCAGGAGGGUAGGAGAAUGGGGACUACAACCUAAGCCUCUUGAAUCACAGAGAUCAAAGUAACCAGGCUGUUUUCUUUAGGAAAGGUGUGUGUGUGUGUGUGUGUGUGUGUGUGUGUGUGUGUGUAGGGGGUGCCUACUGCGUGUACUUCAACCAGACAGAUGUUGAUCGUGCCAGGCAUCGGACUGGCGGCUGGAGAUCCAGAGAUGAAUGCCACAACCCCCAUCCCCAGGGAAUUCACAGUUGAAUGAGGGAAACAGGCAGCUAAAAUGUAGCGUAGUGAAUACAUCGUAGAGCCCCACGGCCCCACGGGGGAGGCACCUAACUCCUGGAGAAGCAGCCAACACCUCCCCGGAGGCCACGCCUCGGCUGUCUGGAAGGACGAGCAGGGGUAAAGCGCAGGACUUCCCGGCAGCUGGCAGAGGUGUCGAGAAGCAGACAAAGCGAGAAAGGAUGGGUCAGUGACUGCUGCCGGGGUCUCAGACAGCAAGAUCUCAUGUCCCCUCCCUGCCAAGGCCCAGUGGGAGGCGACCCUUCCCAAAACAGGUUUAUAUCAAGAACCACAGAUACUUCUUGGAAAUGCAUCCUCCUGGUUGGUGGUGAUCACACAGCUUCCCAAAUGAAGAGUCUUCAGCCCGGUAGAAGGAGUCCAGAGGAGGUAAAACAUAGCAGACAGAAGGCUGAA
Non-coding RNA from Microcebus murinus (gray mouse lemur), 1007 nucleotides. NCBI's taxonomy places the organism in Eukaryota, Metazoa, Chordata, Mammalia, Primates, Cheirogaleidae. The record is from RefSeq and is a predicted model, not a curated record.